CGCACUGCUUCCGGUACGGAGGGGUUGAGAGAUUCCCGCCUCCAGUCGCUCCCUCAGUGGGGGCCGCUCCUCAGCGCCCGCCCCAUACGGGUGCUGUGCCACGUAUUACCCGCUUUGCGCAUGGACAGAUUCGUGGUUAAACGUUCUGCUGAGGAACCUGGGGGUGAUGGCAAGAGGCCCCGGUUAGAGGAGGCGGUGGGCGGCCUGCCCCAUCCCUCACAGCCCAGUCGGCAGAUCCGCGCCCAAGGCCUGAGCCUCGAGUACCGCCUCCUCUUCGGCCGGGCCGAGGCUGACGAGAUCUUCCAGCAGCUGGAAAAGGAGGUGGAGUACUUCGAAGGUGAACAGACAAAGUUGCGUGUGUUUGGCAAAUGGCAUAACAUCCCCAGGAAGCAGGUAACCUACGGAGACCCCGAGUUAACGUACACUUACUCAGGUGUCACCUUUUCUCCUAAGCCGUGGAUCCCAGUUCUCAACCACAUCAGAGAUCGCCUUGUUUUGGAAACGGGACACGCUUUUAAUUUUGUUGUUAUUAACAGGUAUAAAGACGGUGAGGACCACAUAGGUGAACAUCGAGAUGAUGAGAAGGAGCUGAUUCCACGCAGCCCUAUUGCAUCAGUGUCCUUUGGAGCCUGCAGAGACUUCGUUUUCAGGCACUGUGAUUCCAGAGGGAAGAAUGCAACGCGGCACAUUAAGCCCAUCAUACUGCAGCUAGCCCAUGGCAGCCUGCUGAUGAUAAAAUACCCCACUAAUGUGUACUGGUACCACAGCGUGCCCAUCCGCAAGAGAGUGCUUGCUCCAAGAAUCAACCUGACAUUUCGGAAAAUGAUGGUUGUUGACAAAAAAGCGAGAUAGCAAUGAAGCACCUGGACCAUAGACCCUGAAUACUGAAGUUUUCCUCCUCGAUAUAGCUGUCAGUUCCUCAAUCAAGCUGUGUUUGAUGAUCCAAGGCAUUAAAGUAGAAGAUAGCGUGCUUGGGAAUCCAUUCUGAAAGCCGUUCCCAUCCGUGCUCCAUCCUACUGAAAUGAGGAAAGAGUGUCCAAAGUGUGCACCAGGUCUUAAGGAAUCAAGCAAUGGAUGGAAGAAAAAACAUACCUCUGGUUCGGCAGCUAAUUUGCUUUUGGGUUAUUUCUGGCUGCUGCAGAGGAAGAUAAAAGAUGUCAUCAGCCCCACCUUAGAGAAGCUUACAUAUUAAAUAUAUAUUUCAUCCCUGAUUUCAGAACAAAGGUAUGAGUUUAAGUGUCCUUGUGAUUGAAGAAAGCCAAAAACCUGGUGCAGAACAAAGUUCUAAGUGACAAAUAGAGCAGUUCUAAUACAAUGAACAGUUAACCUGUCGAAUUCUGUGCCUGAUAGCACUGAAAUAAAAGCUCAACAAGUU
RNA transcript from Lagopus muta (rock ptarmigan), 1375 nucleotides. It is a transcript of the gene named alkB homolog 2, alpha-ketoglutarate dependent dioxygenase, with no coding region annotated. The transcript is spliced from 5 exons. Lineage: Eukaryota; Metazoa; Chordata; Aves; Galliformes; Phasianidae. The record is from RefSeq and is a predicted model, not a curated record.